This 381-nucleotide ribosomal RNA is filed under the name Triticum aestivum (bread wheat). RNAcentral describes it as "partial small subunit ribosomal RNA". The record is from RNAcentral. Lineage: Eukaryota; Viridiplantae; Streptophyta; Magnoliopsida; Poales; Poaceae.
AUGGCGCCUCUUGCAGCAACCAGAAUCACUGAGUGCACAACUACUAAGACGUAUCUAUUAGCCAAACCCUUCUAUUUUGCAUGCAAGCCUAGGCAAUCAUCCAAGCCAAAUACGGAGAUCCAUAGUGGAGGGACGAAGAGAUGUGGUGAAGCAAGGUUGAUCAAAAAGAUUGGUAAUGUUACAAGCUCAUACAUACGGGAUGAUAAUUGGCUACCCUGUGAAGAGAUGUUGAUACCAUAUGGUUGUCUAGUCCCAAGUCCCCCGAUUCUUGUAUUGGCGCUCAUCGAUAACAUGUCAGCAGCAUGGAAUAGGGAACUUGUGGAGCAUCUGUUCAUCCCAAUGGAUGUCCCGAUUAUUCUGGGCAUACCUUCUUUGUACUAG